UUUGCGUCGAAGGUAUACCGGUAAGGAGUGCUGGAGCGAAUAGAAGUGAGCAUGCAGGCAUGAGUAGCGAUAAUUAAUGUGAGAAUCAUUAACGCCGUAAACCCAAGGUUUCCUACGCGAUGCUCGUCAUCGUAGGGUUAGUCGGGUCCUAAGUCGAGUCCGAAAGGGGUAGACGAUGGCAAAUUGGUUAAUAUUCCAAUACCAACAUUAGUGUGCGAUGGAAGGACGCUUAGGGCUAAGGGGGCUAGCGGAUGGAAGUGCUAGUCUAAGGUCGUAGGAGGUUAUACAGGCAAAUCCGUAUAACAAUACUCCGAGAACUGAAAGGCUUUUUGAAGUCUUCGGAUGGAUAGAAGAACCCCUGAUGCCAUCGAGCCAAGAAAAGUUUCUAAGUUUAGCUAAUGUUGCCCGUACCGUAAACCGACACAGGUGGGUGGGAUGAGUAUUCUAAGGCGCGUGGAAGAACUCUCUUUAAGGAACUCUGCAAAAUAGCACCGUAUCUUCGGUAUAAGGUGUGGUUCGCUUCGUAUUAGGAUUUACUCCGAAAGCGAAGAAACUUACAACAAAGAGUCCCUCCCGACUGUUUACCAAAAACACAGCACUCUGCUAACUCGUAAGAGGAUGUAUAGGGUGUGACGCCUGCCCGGUGCUCGAAGGUUAAUUGAUGGGGUUAGCAUUAGCGAAGCUCUUGAUCGAAGCCCGAGUAAACGGCGGCCGUAACUAUAACGGUCCUAAGGUAGCGAAAUUCCUUGUCGGUUAAAUACCGACCUGCAUGAAUGGCGUAACGAGAUGGGAGCUGUCUCAAAGAGGGAUCCAGUGAAAUUGUAGUGGAGGUGAAAAUUCCUCCUACCCGCGGCAAGACGGAAAGACCCCGUGGACCUUUACUACAGCUUGACACUGCUAUUUGGAUAAGAAUGUGCAGGAUAGGUGGGAGGCUUUGAGUAUAUGACGCCAGUUGUAUAUGAGCCAUUGUUGAGAUACCACUCUUUCUUAU
This 991-nucleotide ribosomal RNA is filed under the name Campylobacter coli. RNAcentral describes it as "partial 23S ribosomal RNA". It matches the Rfam family "Bacterial large subunit ribosomal RNA", at positions 1244 to 2213 of the family's 2925-position model. The record is from RNAcentral. Lineage: Bacteria; Pseudomonadati; Campylobacterota; Epsilonproteobacteria; Campylobacterales; Campylobacteraceae.